GACGAACGCUGGCGGCGUGCUUAACACAUGCAAGUCGAACGGUGAAGGGACCAGCUUGCUGGUUCUGGAUGAGUGGCGAACGGGUGAGUAACACGUGAGUAACCUGCCCCCUUCUUCUGGAUAACCGCAUGAAAGUGUGGCUAAUACGGGAUAUUCUGGGUCUGUCGCAUGGCGGGCCCGGGAAAGAUAUUGCUUCGGUGGGGGAUGGGCUCGCGGCCUAUCAGCUUGUUGGUGGGGUGAUGGCCUACCAAGGCGGUGACGGGUAGCCGGCCUGGGAGGGUGGACGGUCACACUGGGACUGAGACACGGCCCAGACGCCUACGGGAGGCAGCAGUGGGGAAUAUUGCACAAUGGGCGCAAGCCUGAUGCAGCGACGCCGCGUGAGGGAUGGAGGCCUUCGGGUUGUAAACCUCUUUCGCCAGUGAAGCAGGCCUGCUCCUUGUGGGUGGGUUGACGGUAGCUGGAUAAGAAGCGCCGGCUAACUACGUG
This 489-nucleotide ribosomal RNA is filed under the name uncultured bacterium. RNAcentral describes it as "partial 16S ribosomal RNA". It matches the Rfam family "Bacterial small subunit ribosomal RNA", at positions 28 to 507 of the family's 1533-position model. The record is from RNAcentral.